Molecule: ribosomal RNA, 256 nt
Filed under: Salmonella enterica
Lineage: Bacteria; Pseudomonadati; Pseudomonadota; Gammaproteobacteria; Enterobacterales; Enterobacteriaceae
Also listed under: 2 other names
Description: partial 23S ribosomal RNA
Rfam family: Bacterial large subunit ribosomal RNA
Source: RNAcentral
GGUUAAGCGACUAAGCGUACACGGUGGAUGCCCUGGCAGUCAGAGGCGAUGAAGGGCGUGCUAAUCUGCGAUAAGCGCCGGUAAGGUGAUAUGAACCGUUAUAACCGGCGAUACCCGAAUGGGGAAACCCAGUGUGAUUCGUCACACUAUCAUUAACUGAAUCCAUAGGUUAAUGAGGCGAACCGGGGGAACUGAAACAUCUAAGUACCCCGAGGAAAAGAAAUCAACCGAGAUUCCCCCAGUAGCGGCGAGCGAA